GUGCCGCACGUAUAUUUCCUCCAUAAUAUCAAUACGCUUACUCUAACGAAUGCAAAAUAAUCCUCAUAAAAGAACAUAUAUCGUUUGCGGCUCGAUAAUGUUGCGAAAAAUGCAUAAAUCCCAAGCUAGGUGCGGGACAGUGUCGCCACGGAGGCGCGAACGCGGCGUCAAUCCUGUCGCGUGAAGUUAACCGCGCGGAGACGAAGCCGCUUCUCGCCGUCUUCAGCUGUAUUCACGCUUCAUUUACAGAACGCAACGAACGCAGCACGGAUCGGCUCCGGAACGGAGGCAUUGUCGCGGCUCGUUUAUAACAGAGCACGGCGGACGCGAUGCAAGCCGGAUUCGAACGAGAGCGAGUGGCGUCGCAAAAUCUCUGUUGAUCUCGCAUAAAGAUUCGAUGCUUGCGUAUCCGAUCGAAAACGCGCAUUCGAUCCGGAACGCAAAGGACGCGGGAUGGAUGGGCUCCGGAACGGAGGCGUCAUCGCGGCUCGUUUAACAGAACGCGGCGAAUGCAGGAUGAAUCGGAAUUGGAGAGAGCGGCGUCGCGACUCGUUUAAUAGAACGCGGCGUAUGCGGAAAGGAUCAAUUCCGGAAUGAAUGGCGCUAUGAUUCAUCUAAUUAAUCGUAUGUACUACAAUUCUAUUAUUGCACAUCGUGGGAAAAUAAUCUGAAGAGAUCUGACAACUCGGAAAUAAAUUAGACUUAAAGAAGGUAUCGGGUUUCGGUGGACAAACUUUGCGAUUCAUCGUAGCGAUGUGUCUGUUAACGCCACUGUUGCGCAUUGAAUGCGAACUUAUUCCAUGUAUAAAGCUGUCGUAUAUAUACUCGUCGAUGAUUUAAAUAAACGAACCGCAACCGGUUCAUCGCGUCGCGCGCUUGUUCCGGGAGUGCCGUUUAAAGUAAUAGGACUUAAUUAAUCCACGGGCGUAAUUUGU
This is an RNA transcript of Solenopsis invicta (red fire ant), 935 nucleotides long. RefSeq lists it as uncharacterized. The transcript has 8 exons. Lineage: Eukaryota; Metazoa; Arthropoda; Insecta; Hymenoptera; Formicidae. The record is from RefSeq and is a predicted model, not a curated record.